GCAGUGGCCCGUCCCCGGGAUCGGCCUCGGCCACCGGCCACCUGGCGCCGGGAAGCUUCCAUCCCUGCAAAGGAGAAAAAAAAAAAAAAAAGAGUGGAAGGAGGUGAGCGCGGCGAGGACCGAGGCGAAGGAGGGUCAGUGCGGAAACUCGGUGUGAGGGGCCGAGUGAGGAAGGUUCCUGCAGGGCGGGGACCCGGUUUUAGGAGGUCGCGGCCCUGCCUUUACCGGAGGGCGAGUCCCCGCCAAGCCCGGGCUUUGGAGAUGUACCGAAGAGGGGAGGGAGGACUAGGUACAGAAAUAAACCGCGGAGCAAGAAGCACACAGUGCCGAAGACAGAAAGCCGGAGAAGUCGAAACCGCCUCCUCAGCCUCUGGGGGAGCGUGGUAGGGGAAGAGUCACAGACUGACCCUACGUCUCCCGCCGGGAACCAACUGCAGUGGUACACCCCACGGAAAGCUACGUCUCCUUACCGACGGCGCACGCCCCAACAGACUACAACUCCCAGAAGCCCCCGCCCGCGUUCCGGCGACAGCGUGGCAGCACGGGCCGCUUCCUUAUCCGGAUAUGUGCUGUCUCUGGUCUGUCCAAACUCCUCCCAGGCUUGGUGUGAGAUCACAAAUGUGUCACAGCUGCUGGCUUCUCCUGUGCUCUACACGGACCUGAAUUACAGCAUAAACAACUUGAGCAU
RNAcentral lists this small RNA (688 nucleotides) under Pan troglodytes (chimpanzee). RNAcentral's name for it is "processed transcript". Lineage: Eukaryota; Metazoa; Chordata; Mammalia; Primates; Hominidae. The record is from RNAcentral.